AUGGCAAUGCCCACGGUUACUAGCACCGAGUACCUCAUUAGGCACCCAUUGGCAAAUUCAAGUCGCGGUGUGUGGCGCGAAGUUGACGAUAACUUUGAUUCCAGCAACAAUGAUAAGGGCGGUAAGGAUGAGGUCACAAAUAGUUUUGAGGACCAUACCGAGGCAGUGAGCGAGGAUUCUGAGGAGCGUGCCUUAGAUGAACUUCGAAAGAAAACUGGCGAUGACAUGAUUCUCGAGGGCGCUACAAGUUGGUUAGAUGACGAUGUUCCUUAUGAACCCAAGGAUAUCAUCACCGUCAUUCGAUACCUGAUUGAGUCACAUGGGAAACUGCUCAUGGUGAAGAGACAAUUGCAUUGGCCUCCAUAUAGUAUCAACUUCACUAGCAAGGUGGAGGUUUACAAGAUGGAUGUCAACGAUGACAUGCACUGGGUGCCAGUUUCAGGUGGGCUAAGCGGCAAAGCACUUUUCAUCAGCAGAUUCUUCUGCAAGUCCAUUCAUACCUGUGAAGAAGGGGACCGUGAUGCUCUUCAUUUUAUCGACAGUGGUGAAAAAUACGAUAUGAAAUCCCAAAUUGUGAGCCCGAGCUGGAGAGAUAUUGAUCUCUAUAGGUCCACAUGGAUAUUUUCUCAGGAGCUAGUGGUUUGA
RNAcentral lists this ribosomal RNA (645 nucleotides) under Triticum aestivum (bread wheat). RNAcentral describes it as "partial small subunit ribosomal RNA". The record is from RNAcentral. Lineage: Eukaryota; Viridiplantae; Streptophyta; Magnoliopsida; Poales; Poaceae.